This 698-nucleotide ribosomal RNA is filed under the name Escherichia coli. RNAcentral describes it as "partial 23S ribosomal RNA". It matches the Rfam family "Bacterial large subunit ribosomal RNA", at positions 466 to 1164 of the family's 2925-position model. The record is from RNAcentral. Lineage: Bacteria; Pseudomonadati; Pseudomonadota; Gammaproteobacteria; Enterobacterales; Enterobacteriaceae.
CUAAAUACUCCUGACUGACCGAUAGUGAACCAGUACCGUGAGGGAAAGGCGAAAAGAACCCCGGCGAGGGGAGUGAAAAAGAACCUGAAACCGUGUACGUACAAGCAGUGGGAGCACGCUUAGGCGUGUGACUGCGUACCUUUUGUAUAAUGGGUCAGCGACUUAUAUUCUGUAGCAAGGUUAACCGAAUAGGGGAGCCGAAGGGAAACCGAGUCUUAACUGGGCGUUAAGUUGCAGGGUAUAGACCCGAAACCCGGUGAUCUAGCCAUGGGCAGGUUGAAGGUUGGGUAACACUAACUGGAGGACCGAACCGACUAAUGUUGAAAAAUUAGCGGAUGACUUGUGGCUGGGGGUGAAAGGCCAAUCAAACCGGGAGAUAGCUGGUUCUCCCCGAAAGCUAUUUAGGUAGCGCCUCGUGAAUUCAUCUCCGGGGGUAGAGCACUGUUUCGGCAAGGGGGUCAUCCCGACUUACCAACCCGAUGCAAACUGCGAAUACCGGAGAAUGUUAUCACGGGAGACACACGGCGGGUGCUAACGUCCGUCGUGAAGAGGGAAACAACCCAGACCGCCAGCUAAGGUCCCAAAGUCAUGGUUAAGUGGGAAACGAUGUGGGAAGGCCCAGACAGCCAGGAUGUUGGCUUAGAAGCAGCCAUCAUUUAAAGAAAGCGUAAUAGCUCACUGGUCGAGUCGGCCUGCGC